CCUGCGGCUGCGGCUUCUGCUGCGGCUUUUGCAGCCGCUGGACAUGGUGCGGCGCCUGCCGGCGUCGCUGCAGCCGCCGCUGCCGGUGACGGCGGCGGCAGGGCGGGCGCGGGACAGCUGCCGGUGAGGGAGAGCGAAUGCACUAGGUCCAGUCCCACCUGCUGGGGGCAGAGGGGCAGAGGGGCAAAGGGAAGGGCGCAGGCACAGCCGCUUGUGUGAGCACCUACUGUGUAAGUCGCCGUUAGGGUAUUUGUACACCCCCUUUCACCACAGCUACACCCCCUUUCACCACAGCUUAGGGCGGAGGAGUACGAGGAAUCAGUGCGUGGGAGGCAAGACAUCCCAUCCAGCCCGCAGGCACACGCACACGCCCCUCUCCUCGCGUUUUUGAAGCUCUUACACACACGCACC
RNAcentral lists this long non-coding RNA (411 nucleotides) under Chlamydomonas reinhardtii. Its description in RNAcentral is "long non-coding RNA (CREI_LNC000148)". The record is from RNAcentral. Lineage: Eukaryota; Viridiplantae; Chlorophyta; Chlorophyceae; Chlamydomonadales; Chlamydomonadaceae.